UACGAGAGGCCCAAACGUUAUUCGGAAUUACUGGGCUUAAAGAGUUCGUAGGCGGCGCAGAAAGUAGGGUGUGAAAGCCCUCGGCUUAACCGAGGAAUUGCGCUCUAAACUACUGUGCUUGAGGAAUCUAGAGGUGAGCGGAACUGAUGGUGGAGCGGUGAAAUGCGUUGAUAUCAUCAGGAACACCGGAGGCGAAGGCGGCUCACUGGGGAUUUUCUGACGCUGAGGAACGAAAGCCAGGGGAGCGAACGGG
RNAcentral lists this ribosomal RNA (253 nucleotides) under uncultured bacterium. RNAcentral's name for it is "partial 16S ribosomal RNA". It matches the Rfam family "Bacterial small subunit ribosomal RNA", at positions 524 to 776 of the family's 1533-position model. The record is from RNAcentral.